Molecule: ribosomal RNA, 309 nt
Filed under: Triticum aestivum (bread wheat)
Lineage: Eukaryota; Viridiplantae; Streptophyta; Magnoliopsida; Poales; Poaceae
Description: partial small subunit ribosomal RNA
Source: RNAcentral
AUGGCCCAGAAGGUGGUGCUGAGGAUUCCCACCAUGACCGACGACAAGACCAAGCAGAAAGCCAUGGAGGCCGUCGCCGACAUCUACGGUAUCGACUCGAUAGCCGCAGACCUCAAGGACAACAAGAUGACCGUCAUCGGUGCUAUGGACACGGUGGCCAUCGCCAAGAGGCUCAAGAAGCUCGGCAAGAUCGACAUCGUCUCGGUCGGGCCGGCAAAGGAGGAGAAGAAGCCGGCGCCGGCUGCGGAGAAGAAGGGCGAGGUUAAGAAGGAUGACAAGAAAGAGGAGAAGAAAGACGACAAGAAGUGA